RNAcentral lists this ribosomal RNA (244 nucleotides) under uncultured bacterium. Its description in RNAcentral is "partial 16S ribosomal RNA". It matches the Rfam family "Bacterial small subunit ribosomal RNA", at positions 533 to 776 of the family's 1533-position model. The record is from RNAcentral.
UGCAAGCGUUGUCCGGAAUUAUUGGGCGUAAAGAGCUCGUAGGCGGCCUGUCACGUCGACUGUGAAAACCCAGGGCUCAACCCUGGGCCUGCAGUCGAUACGGGCAGGCUAGAGUGUGGUAGGGGAGACUGGAACUCCUGGUGUAGCGGUGAAAUGCGUAGAUAUCAGGAGGAACACCGGUGGCGAAGGCGGGUCUCUGGGCCGAUACUGACGCUGAGGAGCGAAAGCGUGGGGAGCGAACAGG